CCUUCCAUGGAAAGACCUGGAGAGAUUGGCUCACUGCUGAGGAGGCUGCUGCUCUUCCCUUAGCUGGAGUGAAGACUGGGACAUGCGUGGCUACAUAAAGAUGGCCAAAGACCAGAAUAACAACUGCAGAAUCGCCAUGCUGGCCAGCCUUCCUAUUGUGUGAGCUGAUGGAUGGUGAAGAGGAAGGACUUGACUGGGGAUGGCACAUACAUGGGAGGAAUUCAUCUGAAAUCUACCAGCCCCUGCCAUGUGGGAUGCACACUGGAAUCACUGAAGAUUCAAGUGUGAUUUGAAUUCUGUGACGCUUUCGUAAUGGUAAAUGUUACCACUAUUUUGAUUACUGCUAUAACCAGCUUUGCAUUAUUGAUUCACUGAAUGACUUUAGAUUUCUUUUUUGCUUUAAAAGGAUGGAAAAAAUUUUACCUGUUUAAAUAAAACUUAAUUUCACUUGG
This 452-nucleotide long non-coding RNA is filed under the name Homo sapiens (human). Its description in RNAcentral is "non-protein coding lnc-SPATA31E1-2:1". The record is from RNAcentral. Lineage: Eukaryota; Metazoa; Chordata; Mammalia; Primates; Hominidae.